UGCGGGAUCUUCUAAUGGUAGGAAUAUGGACUCUGAAUCCAUCAAUCUUGGUUCGAAUCCAAGUCCCGCAGCCA
This 74-nucleotide transfer RNA is filed under the name bacterium. RNAcentral's name for it is "tRNA-Gln". It matches the Rfam family "tRNA". From Rfam's summary of the family: Transfer RNA (tRNA) molecules are approximately 80 nucleotides in length. Their secondary structure includes four short double-helical elements and three loops (D, anti-codon, and T loops). The record is from RNAcentral.